GGCUCGGUAGCUUAGUUGGUAAAGCGCUCGUCUAGAGUUCUGGGUUCGAAUCCCAGCCGAGCAC
Molecule: transfer RNA, 64 nt
Filed under: Aedes aegypti (yellow fever mosquito)
Lineage: Eukaryota; Metazoa; Arthropoda; Insecta; Diptera; Culicidae
Rfam family: tRNA
About the family: Transfer RNA (tRNA) molecules are approximately 80 nucleotides in length. Their secondary structure includes four short double-helical elements and three loops (D, anti-codon, and T loops). Further hydrogen bonds mediate the characteristic L-shaped molecular structure. tRNAs have two regions of fundamental functional importance: the anti-codon, which is responsible for specific mRNA codon recognition, and the 3' end, to which the tRNAs corresponding amino acid is attached (by aminoacyl-tRNA synthetases). tRNAs cope with the degeneracy of the genetic code in two manners: having more than one tRNA (with a specific anti-codon) for a particular amino acid; and 'wobble' base-pairing, i.e. permitting non-standard base-pairing at the 3rd anti-codon position.
Source: Rfam by way of RNAcentral